CUCCCGGCAGCCCUUUCGCUCGGAGCAACACAAAAUGGCAGCGCUCGCGUCGACCUGCCGCUUUUCCGUCAGAGAAACGGACAGACAGCGGUUUUCCUCUUGAUCGGCAGCGUGCACGUGAAUGUCGCCAGGUGGCGGUACUUGCUGCCCUGGCGACGUCCUGGCCGCGCGGUGGCCACGAUCAGCGAGGGGGAAGGUGUCGGAAGGGGGGGGGGGUCAGCCGUCUGUGGGCACCGGGCGCAGGUCUCUGCGCGGCGCUCGCUUGGCGCGUCACCGCGCGCUGGCCGCCGGGAACCGGGCACGAUUUCGCGAGACCCUCUCCGCUCACGUGCUUCCCGGAAGUGCCGCGCGUCGGAAACCUCGUGCGGCGCUCGGGCCGGAGCUGUUCCCGCACAGUCACGUGACGGCAGGCGUUGGCCACAGUUUCAGGCUGUGGCUGUGUUAGGGACGCUCGCAGGACGUUGCAAGACCACGUCUUCCGAAAACGAGGAUCGCUCGGUCUGUGAAGAAAACUUUCGGGACACAAGCAUGUACCGAAGGCGCCAUGAAACACGACCGGAUGGAUUCAGCGUAAAAAGUCAUCUGUUUGGAGGGACCCUGCCAUCGGUGUCAUUCUGGGAAGCCGAGCGAGGCGCGACAAUUGGGAGGCGUACGUGUAACGCUGGCGUCACAACAGUUUCAGCCGCUGUUUUCAGGUGCCUGCCCGGCUUCUGUUCUGUCCUGCUUCCUACGCUGUUCCACGACAGGAAGUCAGAAGAAAAUGGGCCUCAAGACCACGUUUGGCUUAUAUGCCGCGGAGAGGACUCCUCAAUCUGGACAUUUAUUCAGAUUUUCAGAUAAGAGCCAGGCCCUGUGCCUUUCUGUCUCCUCAGAGUCACAGUUGAUAUUAAAAACUACUUGACAGCAAAGGAAA
Herpailurus yagouaroundi (jaguarundi) is the source of this 913-nucleotide long non-coding RNA. RefSeq lists it as uncharacterized. NCBI's taxonomy places the organism in Eukaryota, Metazoa, Chordata, Mammalia, Carnivora, Felidae. The transcript is spliced from 2 exons. The record is from RefSeq and is a predicted model, not a curated record.